This is an RNA transcript of Asparagus officinalis (garden asparagus), 1141 nucleotides long. RefSeq lists it as uncharacterized. The transcript is spliced from 6 exons. The record is from RefSeq and is a predicted model, not a curated record. Lineage: Eukaryota; Viridiplantae; Streptophyta; Magnoliopsida; Asparagales; Asparagaceae.
UUUAUCCCUACUUGGAAAAAAAAGACCAGAAAACUAUUAAUUGGGAGCGCAUCUUCUCUUCGCAGGGGAGGAGAGAUCAAUGGAGGAGCAAGGUGGAGACGAUGAUCGAAGGAGAGAGGCCGCGUUGGCUUCAACUCCACUCUUUCAACCCAACUUCAAAUCCUCCAAGGUCACCCAAGCCCAGCUCGAUAAAUUCAGGGAGCUGCAUAAGAGACGCUUACAAAUAAAACAAAUAUCAAAGGAUAAAGAGAUGUUAAAAGGAAUUGCAAGAAGACCUGGAAAGGUAAAGAAGGAGGAUCUUGUCUGCAAGGACACUAAAGGAAUAUGCGAAUCUGACAUUAAAGAAGAUUCAAAUUUCUGCAUUUCAGAGAGAAAGGACUCUUCAGAUGAAACAAUGCCUGCUUUUGCAUCAAAGAAGAGACAAAAGUUGCACUGGGGGCUUGAUCCAAAGGAAAGAUGGGAAAGGAAAGCCAACAUGUAGAUUAUCGACAAUUGGUAUGCUAACUCUACUGAUGUUGUUCAGGAAGGAUAGUCUCAUCAAACUAGGUAAUGGUAGACUUAGCUCAUAACUCUACCGAUGUUGUUCAGGAAGGAUAGUCUCAUCAAACUAGGUAAUGGUAGACGUAGCUCAUAACUGAACUUGAUUGGGGAGUUGAUGUAUCUGACCAGCGAGCUUUGUUUAGUAUAUGUAUUUUCAGACCUUCAAGGUAUUGGAUAUCAGCAGCUCAUAUAACUAGCAUGCAUAUAGACGAUGGAUAUGUAAAUUCGUAAUUAGGCAUGAUGCCUUCUCAGAAGUCAUUACAUGUGCAGUUGCAUAAGUGAUUUUAUGACUGAAAUCAUGAGCUUGCAUUUUUCCGCUCCCUUCAAUAUGUAAUAACCAUCUUACUUGAGCUAGGAUUUGAUCCCUCUAUAUUAGCCCAAAUGUGUAUAUUCAAGGUGUGGAAUUCUCAUGUGUUACUUAGGUCUUCAUACUACCAAGUUGAGAUGGGAACAUUAUAAAUGACAAUUUCGAGUAAUGUUCAACUAGCCAGGGGAAAGUUUACCCUUAGGCCUCUAAUUGUAUUUUGAGCCUUGUAUCAAAGAAUACGGACCUGGUAACGAGAAACUUGAAUAUGACACAAAGGAACGACAAAGGAACAUA